UUCCGGUUGAUCCUGCCGGACCUCACUGCUAUCGGGAUGAGACUAAGCUAUGCAAGUCAAGCGUUUUCGGGCCAAUGCGAGAACGCGGCAUACGGCUCAGUAACACGUGGCUAACUUACCCUUGGGACAGGGACAACCCCGGGAAACUGGGGCUAAUCCCUGAUAGGCGAAUAUGCCUGGAAUGGUUUUUCACUCAAAGGGGAUCGAAGUCAUGCUCUUCGAUCUUGCCCAAGGAUAGGGCCGCGUCCGAUCAGGUUGUUGGUGGGGUAAUGGCCCACCAAGCCGAUAACCGGUACGGGCCCUGAGAGGGGGAGCCCGGAGAUGGGAACUGAGACAAGGUCCCAGGCCCUACGGGGCGCAGCAAGCGCGAAACCUCCGCAAUACGCGAAAGCGUGACGGGGUUAUCCCGAGUGCCGUCCGCUGAGGGCGGCUUUUACUUGGUGUAAGGAGCCGAGAGAAUAAGGGGAGGGCAAGACUGGUGUCAGCCGCCGCGGUAAUACCAGCUCCCCGAGUGGUGAGGAUGAUUAUUGGGCCUAAAGCGUCCGUAGCCGGUUUGGUAAGUCUCCCGUCAAAUCUACCGACUUAAUCGGUAGGCCGCGGGAAAUACUGCUAAACUAGGAGGCGGGAGAGGUCGGCGGUAGUCCCGGGGUAGGGGUAAAAUCCUAUAAUCCUGGGAGGACCACCAGUGGCGAAGGCGGCCGACCAGAACGCGCUCGACGGUGAGGGACGAAAGCUGGGGGAGCGAACCGGAUUAGAUACCCGGGUAGUCCCAGCCGUAAACGAUGCGGGCUAGUGUUGGUACGGCUACGUGCCGUUUCAGUGCCGCAGGGAAGCUGUUAAGCCCGCCGCCUGGGGAGUACGGCCGCAAGCUGAAUCUAGAGAGUGAAUGAUCCCGACCGUUCGGUAUACGACUCUCUGACAGCAGACUUAAAGAUGGCCGGGGAGCAC
This 948-nucleotide ribosomal RNA is filed under the name uncultured archaeon. Its description in RNAcentral is "bacterial SSU rRNA". It matches the Rfam family "Archaeal small subunit ribosomal RNA", at positions 1 to 879 of the family's 1478-position model. The record is from RNAcentral.